RNAcentral lists this ribosomal RNA (631 nucleotides) under Fusarium solani. RNAcentral describes it as "eukaryotic LSU rRNA". It matches the Rfam family "Eukaryotic large subunit ribosomal RNA", at positions 762 to 1393 of the family's 3401-position model. Lineage: Eukaryota; Fungi; Ascomycota; Sordariomycetes; Hypocreales; Nectriaceae. The record is from RNAcentral.
CGACCGAUCCUGAUGUAUUCGGAUGGAUUUGAGUAAGAGCAUACGGGGCCGGACCCGAAAGAAGGUGAACUAUGCCUGUGUAGGGUGAAGCCAGAGGAAACUCUGGUGGAGGCUCGCAGCGGUUCUGACGUGCAAAUCGAUCGUCAAACAUGGGCAUGGGGGCGAAAGACUAAUCGAACCUUCUAGUAGCUGGUUUCCGCCGAAGUUUCCCUCAGGAUAGCAGUGUUGAACUCAGUUUUAUGAGGUAAAGCGAAUGAUUAGGGACUCGGGGGCGCUAUUUAGCCUUCAUCCAUUCUCAAACUUUAAAUAUGUAAGAAGCCCUUGUUGCUUAAUUGAACGUGGGCAUUCGAAUGAAUCAACACUAGUGGGCCAUUUUUGGUAAGCAGAACUGGCGAUGCGGGAUGAACCGAACGCGAGGUUAAGGUGCCAGAGUAGACGCUCAUCAGACACCACAAAAGGUGUUAGUACAUCUUGACAGCAGGACGGUGGCCAUGGAAGUCGGAAUCCGCUAAGGACUGUGUAACAACUCACCUGCCGAAUGUACUAGCCCUGAAAAUGGAUGGCGCUCAAGCGUCUCACCCAUACCUCGCCCUCAGNGUAGAAACGAUGCCCUGAGGAGUAGGCGGACGUG